RNAcentral lists this ribosomal RNA (645 nucleotides) under uncultured bacterium. Its description in RNAcentral is "bacterial SSU rRNA". It matches the Rfam family "Bacterial small subunit ribosomal RNA", at positions 103 to 766 of the family's 1533-position model. The record is from RNAcentral.
CGGGUGAGUAACGCGUGGGUAACCUGCCUCACACUGGCGGAUAACAGUUAGAAAUAGCUGCUAAUACCGCAUAAGCGCACGGUUCCGCAUGGAACAGUGUGAAAAACUCCGGUGGUGUGAGAUGGACCCGCGUCUGAUUAGCCAGUUGGCGGGGUAACGGCCCACCAAAGCGACGAUCAGUAGCCGGCCUGAGAGGGUGAACGGCCACAUUGGGACUGAGACACGGCCCAAACUCCUACGGGAGGCAGCAGUGGGGAAUAUUGCACAAUGGGGGAAACCCUGAUGCAGCGACGCCGCGUGAGUGAAGAAGUAUUUCGGUAUGUAAAGCUCUAUCAGCAGGGAAGAAAGUGACGGUACCUGAAUAAGAAGCCCCGGCUAACUACGUGCCAGCAGCCGCGGUAAUACGUAGGGGGCAAGCGUUAUCCGGAUUUACUGGGUGUAAAGGGAGCGUAGACGGCAAGGCAAGUCUGAAGUGAAAGCCCGGUGCUUAACGCCGGGACUGCUUUGGAAACUGUUUAGCUGGAGUGCCGGAGAGGUAAGCGGAAUUCCUAGUGUAGUGGUGAAAUGCGUAGAUAUUAGGAAGAACACCAGUGGCGAAGGCGGCUUACUGGACGGUAACUGACGUUGAGGCUCGAAAGCGUGGGG